GAUGAACGCUAGCUACAGGCCUAACACAUGCAAGUCGUGGGGCAGCGGGUAUGCUUGUUUUCAAGUAUAUGCCGGCGACCGGCGCACGGGUGAGUAACGCGUAUCCAACCUGCCCAUCACAAGGGAAUAACCCGUCGAAAGUCGGCCUAAUGCCCUAUGUAUUCCGAUGAAGUCCUCUGAAUCGGAAUAAAGCAUUUGCGGUGAUGGAUGGGGAUGCGUCUGAUUAGCUUGUCGGCGGGGUAACGGCCCACCGAGGCGACGAUCAGUAGGGGUUCUGAGAGGAAGGUCCCCCACAUUGGAACUGAGACACGGUCCAAACUCCUACGGGAGGCAGCAGUGAGGAAUAUUGGUCAAUGGGCGUGAGCCUGAACCAGCCAAGUAGCGUGCAGGAUGACGGCCCUAUGGGUUGUAAACUGCUUUUAUACGGGGAUAAAAGGGUGAACGUGUUCUCCUUUGCAGGUACCGUAUGAAUAAGGACCGGCUAAUUCCGUGCCAGCAGCCGCGGUAAUACGGAAGGUCCUGGCGUUAUCCGGAUUUAUUGGGUUUAAAGGGAGCGCAGGCUGCACUUUAAGCGUGUUGUGAAAUGUACCGGCUCAACCGGUAACGUGCAGCGCGAACUGGGGUGCUUGAGUACGAAGAGGGAAAGCGGAACUCGUGGUGUAGCGGUGAAAUGCUUAGAUAUCACGAGGAACUCCGAUCGCGAAGGCAGCUUUCCGUUUCGGAACUGACGCUGAGGCUCGAAAGUGCGGGUAUCGAACAGGAUUAGAUACCCUGGUAGUCCGCACGGUAAACGAUGGAUGCUCGCUGUUGGAUAUUUUUAUUCAGUGGCUAAGUGAAAACGUUAAGCAUCCCACCUGGGGAGUACGCCGGCAACGGUGAAACUCAAAGGAAUAGACGGGGGCCCGCACAAGCGGAGGAACAUGUGGUUUAAUUCGAUGAUACGCGAGGAACCUUACCCGGGCUUGAAUUGCAGCUGAACGAUCCAGAGAUGGUGAGG
Molecule: ribosomal RNA, 997 nt
Filed under: Prevotella sp. oral taxon 303
Lineage: Bacteria; Pseudomonadati; Bacteroidota; Bacteroidia; Bacteroidales; Prevotellaceae
Description: bacterial SSU rRNA
Rfam family: Bacterial small subunit ribosomal RNA
Source: RNAcentral